Molecule: long non-coding RNA, 287 nt
Organism: Syzygium oleosum
Lineage: Eukaryota; Viridiplantae; Streptophyta; Magnoliopsida; Myrtales; Myrtaceae
Exons: 2
Source: RefSeq, a predicted model, not a curated record
AUGGGAGAUAGGGACGAGAGAGAAGUGUGUACUGAAAGAUUGUUCAAGUGCAGUCCUCUUGAUCAUUAUUUUUCACUAUAGUUGCAGUGAAACUUAGUCCCUGUGGAGACAUAUUGAAGUAUCAUAUGAUUCGUUCUAAAGCUAGCCUCAAAAGUGAUUGAAUCCGAUACAUUUCUAAAGAUACAGAAAUUUACAUAAUUAGAAAUGAUUCGUCGAUGAAAUCAUAUGUAGCUAGAAGCCCUGAUCAAGACAAUGACAAAAGAUACUAGCUGGUCAAAAGCCAGAAA